GGAAGUAAAAGCCGUAACAAGGUUUCCGUAGGUGAACCUGCGGAGGGAUCAUUACAGAGUUCAUGCCCUACCGGGUAGAUCUCCCACCCUAUGUUAUUAUUACUUUGUUGCUUUGGCGGGCCGUUAGGCUCCGGCCCGACUACCGGCCCCGGCUGGUAAGCGCCCGCCAGAGGACCCAAAACCCUGAAUAUUAGUGUCGUCUGAGUACUAUAUAAUAGUUAAAACUUUCAACAACGGAUCUCUUGGUUCUG
RNAcentral lists this unclassified non-coding RNA (251 nucleotides) under plant metagenome. RNAcentral describes it as "partial contains small subunit ribosomal RNA, internal transcribed spacer 1, and 5.8S ribosomal RNA". The stretch from base 1 to 54 matches the Rfam family "Eukaryotic small subunit ribosomal RNA", at positions 1778 to 1831 of the family's 1831-position model. The record is from RNAcentral.